Molecule: ribosomal RNA, 492 nt
Filed under: uncultured bacterium
Lineage: Bacteria
Description: partial 16S ribosomal RNA
Rfam family: Bacterial small subunit ribosomal RNA
Source: RNAcentral
AGUGAACGCUGGCGGUAGGCCUAACACAUGCAAGUCGAACGGCAGCACAGUAAGAGCUUGCUCUUACGGGUGGCGAGUGGCGGACGGGUGAGGAAUACAUCGGAAUCUACUUUUUCGUGGGGGAUAACGUAGGGAAACUUGCGCUAAUACCGCAUACGACCUACGGGUGAAAGCAGUGGAUCUUCGGACCUUGCGCGAUUGAAUGAGCCGAUGUCGGAUUAGCUAGUUGGCGGGGUAAAGGCCCACCAAGGCGACGAUCCGUAGCUGGUCUGAGAGGAUGAUCAGCCACACUGGAACUGAGACACGGUCCAGACUCCUACGGGAGGCAGCAGUGGGGAAUAUUGGACAAAGGGCGCAAGCCUGAUCCAGCCAUACCGCGUGGGUGAAGAAGGCCUUCGGGUUGUAAAGCCCUUUUGUUGGGAAAGAAAAGCAGCAGGUUAAUACCCCGCUGUUCUGACGGUACCCAAAGAAUAAGCACCGGCUAACUUCGUG